ACGCACGCUGGCGGCGUGCUUAAUACAUGCAAGUCGAACGGAAAGGCCCCUUUGGGGGUACUCGAGUGGCGAACGGGUGAGUAACACGUGAGUAACCUGCCCUUGACUUCGGGAUAACUUCAGGAAACUGGGGCUAAUACCGGAUAGGAAUCCUUGCUGCAUGGUGGGGGUUGGAAAGCUUCGGCGGUUUUGGAUGGACUCGCGGCUUAUCAGCUUGUUGGUGGGGUAGUGGCUUACCAAGGCUUUGACGGGUAGCCGGCCUGAGAGGGCGACCGGCCACAUUGGGACUGAGAUACGGCCCAGACUCCUACGGGAGGCAGCAGUGGGGAAUAUUGCACAAUGGGCGGAAGCCUGAUGCAGCAACGCCGCGUGCGGGAUGACGGCCUUCGGGUUGUAAACCGCUUUCAGCAGGGGCGAAGCUUGUGGUGACGGUACCUGCAGAAGAAGCACCGGCUAACUACGUG
Molecule: ribosomal RNA, 464 nt
Filed under: uncultured bacterium
Lineage: Bacteria
Description: partial 16S ribosomal RNA
Rfam family: Bacterial small subunit ribosomal RNA
Source: RNAcentral